AGUAUAAUGUCUGACUAAAGGAUUUCUUUGAUACAGAAAAGCAAGCAUUUUUUAAUGCUUAUACUA
Molecule: transfer RNA, 66 nt
Filed under: Neotrypaea japonica (Japanese ghost shrimp)
Lineage: Eukaryota; Metazoa; Arthropoda; Malacostraca; Decapoda; Callianassidae
Description: tRNA-Ile
Source: RNAcentral